This 796-nucleotide ribosomal RNA is filed under the name uncultured archaeon. Its description in RNAcentral is "bacterial SSU rRNA". It matches the Rfam family "Archaeal small subunit ribosomal RNA", at positions 85 to 879 of the family's 1478-position model. The record is from RNAcentral.
ACGGCUCAGUAACACGUGGAUAACCUGCCCUUGGGUCCGGCAUAACCCCGGGAAACUGGGGAUAAUUCCGGAUAACGCACAUAUGCUGGAAUGCUUUAUGCGUCAAAUGGAUUCGUCUGCCCAAGGAUGGGUCUGCGGCCUAUCAGGUAGUAGUGGGUGUAAUGUACCUACUAGCCGACGACGGGUACGGGUUGUGAGAGCAAGAGCCCGGAGAUGGAUUCUGAGACAUGAAUCCAGGCCCUACGGGGCGCAGCAGGCGCGAAAACUUUACAAUGCGGGAAACCGUGAUAAGGGGACACCGAGUGCCAGCAUCAUAUGCUGGCUGUCCGGGUGUGUAAAAUACACCUGUUAGCAAGGGCCGGGCAAGACCGGUGCCAGCCGCCGCGGUAACACCGGCGGCCCGAGUGGUGAUCGUGAUUAUUGGGUCUAAAGGGUCCGUAGCCGGUUUGGUCAGUCCUCCGGGAAAUCUGACGGCUUAACCGUUAGGCUUUCGGAGGAUACUGCCAGGCUUGGAACCGGGAGAGGUAAGAGGUACUACAGGGGUAGGAGUGAAAUCUUGUAGUCCCUGUGGGACCACCUGUGGCGAAGGCGUCUUACCAGAACGGGUUCGACGGUGAGGGACGAAAGCUGGGGGCACGAACCGGAUUAGAUACCCGGGUAGUCCCAGCCGUAAACGAUGCUCGCUAGGUGUCAGGCAUGGCGCGACCGUGUCUGGUGCCGCAGGGAAGCCGUGAAGCGAGCCACCUGGGAAGUACGGCCGCAAGGCUGAAACUUAAAGGAAUUGGCGGGGGAGCAC